Gasterosteus aculeatus aculeatus (three-spined stickleback) is the source of this 2157-nucleotide long non-coding RNA. Lineage: Eukaryota; Metazoa; Chordata; Actinopteri; Perciformes; Gasterosteidae. The record is from Ensembl.
GGAAACACUUAGCCAAGAAUCCGAAAGAAAUUAUAGCUUACGAUAAUUAACUCGGGAGUGACGUCUUUGGCUUUCGAUCGUGUCCCUAUAAAAGACUGUAAUUUAUGUGAUUUGUCACAUCAAGUGUAAGGUUUCCAACAUCCCAGGUGCAAAGUAAGCAAGAAAGGGGAAUUCACAACCUUUCAUCUCUGGUCUUCAUCUGAUAGAUUCCUGGAUUCAAAACAAAAAAGAUGGCUGUGGCACGGAUUAUAUUAAUCUUCCUGGUUAUAAUGGCAGUAACAAGUCCAGGUGCAACAACGACGACAACAGCUGCACCUACAACUGCAGCACCUACAACUGCUGCACCUACAACCGCAGCACCUACAACCGCUGCACCUACAACAGCUGCACCCACAACAGCUGCACCCACAACUGCUGCACCUACAACUGCUGCACCUACAACAGCUGCACCCACAACAGCUGCACCUACAACUGCUGCACCUACAACAGCUGCACCUACAACUGCAGCACCUACAACAGCUGCACCUACAACUGCUGCACCUACAACUGCAGCACCUACAACAGCUGCACCAACAACUGCUGCACCUACAACUGCAGCACCUACAACUGCUGCACCUACAACUGCAGCACCUACAACUGCUGCGCCUACAACUGCAGCGCCUACAACUGCUGCGCCUACAACAGCUGCACCUACAACUGCUGCACCUACAACAGCGGCACCCACAACAGCUGCACCCACAACAGCUGCACCUACAACUGCUGCACCUACAACUGCUGCGCCUACAACUGCUGCACCCACAACAGCUGCACCCACAACAGCUGCACCUACAACUGCAGCACCCACAACAGCUGCGCCUACAACAGCUGCACCUACAACUGCUGCACCUACAACAGCGGCACCCACAACAGCUGCACCCUGCAUAUAAAUCACGUCUAUAAUUUGCUGAAUUUAUAUUCUUUCACAAUGCAGACCAGCUACGGCGGCAACACGAACGUCUAAUACUGAAGCAGUGGUCGACAUUGUGUUCACUCCGGAUGCUGAAAUCCCACAGGCUGCUGACGUAGCACAGACCUUGAUAGACGCUGCGAAUAACAACAGUCUCUCCGACCUCGGUGUUGAUCCAGAGUCUGUCCGUGCAGUUUCACCUACAACAGCUGCACCUACAACUGCAGCACCCACAACAGCUGCACCUACAACUGCUGCACCUACCACUGCAGCACCUACAACAGCUGCACCUGUAACAACUGAGGCGGUCACAACAAGGCGACUGUCUUUCAGAUCUGCUGGAGAGACAUUUAUCACUGACUUGCUAAAUACAUCAUCUGCAGCGUUUCAAAGAAGAGCCUCAUUGAUAACGUCAAAUCUCGAGCCGUUCUACCAAAGAGCAUUUACUUCGUUCCGCUCCUUAACAGUGACUUCAUUCAGUAAUGGUUCAAUCAUCAACAACAUGGACAUUGGAUUUGCAUCAGCUUCUGUUCCUAAUGGCACUCAGAUUGGAAAUGUUUUGAUUCAAGCAGCUUCAAACAUCACAGUCUUCAAUGUUGACCUGAACUCCAUUUUCGUGGAUGGCUCACAGGUUUCAAGUGGAGUAAGCCACAAGAUCAGUCUCAUCACUGCAUCCUUCCUCGUACUGUCGUCAUGGAUACUGUCAAACCAGCAAUAGUAUCAUCGCUGACUCCUGUUAGAAAAGCCCUGAUUGUAUGACUGCCAUCACUGGCAUGACAAAUGACUUCUUGAUUAUUGAAUGAUAUUUUUGUUCUAAAUUUUACACUGUAUUUUUGGUGUUUAAAUUAAUGCAUGUCAAAUUCAUAUUCAGGUUUUACUUGAUAUUACAGCAUUACAUAACACUCCAUGACUGUAUCAGAGAAAAUAUUGUACAGGGAAGAUUUAAGGAAUACACUGCAGCUCACCAUGAGCUGAGUAUCCCAAUGAUGAACAAAUAUAUGGGCAUAGAUUUGUAUUAUGAUAUACAUAAUAUUAUAUAUGUGUAAAAGUAAAAAAUAUAAAAUCUUUCUUCUGACUUCUUUUUACUGUCUUUUUGUUCAUACAAACUGUAUUCAUGUAAUAUUCAUAGCUCUAUUCUGGGAGAUUUCUUGUUUGUUCAACUUUUGUCAGAAACUACAAUGAACCGUAAUAAAAAAUCUUAAAUAAUUAAA